This 442-nucleotide ribosomal RNA is filed under the name uncultured bacterium. RNAcentral describes it as "bacterial SSU rRNA". It matches the Rfam family "Bacterial small subunit ribosomal RNA", at positions 29 to 507 of the family's 1533-position model. The record is from RNAcentral.
AGCGAACGCUGGCGGCAUGCUUAACACAUGCAAGUCGCACGGGCGGGGGCAACUCCGUCAGUGGCGGACGGGUGAGUAACGCGUAGGAAUCUAUCCUUGAAGUGGGGGACAACCGUGGGAAACUACGGCUAAUACCGCAUGAUGCCGUGAAGGGCCAAAGACGAAAGUCGUUUGAGGAGGAGCCUGCGUCUGAUUAGGUAGUUGGUGGGGUAAAGGCCUACCAAGCCUACGAUCAGUAGCUGGUCUGAGAGGAUGAUCAGCCACAUUGGGACUGAGACACGGCCCAAACUCCUACGGGAGGCAGCAGUGGGGAAUAUUGGACAAUGGGCGCAAGCCUGAUCCAGCAAUGCCGCGUGGGUGAAGAAGGUCUUCGGAUUGUAAAGCCCUUUUGGCGGGGACGAUGAUGACGGUACCCGCAGAAUAAGCUCCGGCUAACUUCGUG